ACUCCUGCGGGAGGCAGCAGUGGGGAAUUUUGGACAAUGGGCGAAAGCCUGAUCCAGCAAUGCCGCGUGAGUGAAGAAGGCCUUCGGGUUGUAAAGCUCUUUUGUCAGGGAAGAAACGGUGAAAGCUAAUAUCUUUUGCUAAUGACGGUACCUGAAGAAUAAGCACCGGCUAACUACGUGCCAGCAGCCGCGGUAAUACGUAGGGUGCAAGCGUUAAUCGGAAUUACUGGGCGUAAAGCGUGCGCAGGCGGUUUUGUAAGUCUGAUGUGAAAUCCCCGGGCUCAACCUGGGAAUUGCAUUGGAGACUGCAAGGCUAGAAUCUGGCAGAGGGGGGUAGAAUUCCACGUGUAGCAGUGAAAUGCGUAGAUAUGUGGAGGAACACCGAUGGCGAAGGCAGCCCCCUGGGUCAAGAUUGACGCUCAUGCACGAAAGCGUGGGGAGCAAACAGGAUUAGAAACCCCAGUAGUCCCAUGAU
This 475-nucleotide ribosomal RNA is filed under the name uncultured organism. Its description in RNAcentral is "partial 16S ribosomal RNA". It matches the Rfam family "Bacterial small subunit ribosomal RNA", at positions 335 to 801 of the family's 1533-position model. The record is from RNAcentral.